GGUCCACCAGGAAAGGAGAGUGAUACCUGCUGACUGCCUUGGUGCUGCAGAGGAGACGGGGGUAAACGUGAAGUACAGAAGGCAAGGCAAAGAAUGGACUGAAGUGAAGAAUUAAACUACUGUAUUUUAGCAUAUAAGAGGAGUGUAGCAUACUAAAAAGAAAUUAAUUUAAAACCACUAUUACACAAGUGCUGAUAACUUCUGGACACCAGGUAUGUUUUCUGUGCCCCCUUAAAACAAAGAGACAACUUGUUGCAUAUCUACUUGGGUUAUGACCAGUGUCAAUAUAAAAUUAUUACUUGGUAGUCAGUAUAAUCUUUUAAUAAUAUAAGUUUACUUAUGGUAGAAUGCUGUAUGUAAUCAUUUGUGUUUAGAAGUAAGUAGUUGAUGGCAUAUUGAAAGAAUGUCUCAUCAUACGAGGUUUGUGUGCAUUCCAGAGUGUUCUGGCAUUCACCCCCCACAUCCUAGGAGCAUGGGAAAGGUUGUACCUUCUUUUAUUGUUUUACAGUAGGAUAAACGUAGCUAUGUCAGUUUUAGUCUAAGUGCCUUUUUUACAUAUAGAUGAACUGUUGGAUUUUCCAGACCAGCAGGUUUAGGGAAGUCGUUUAUGGGGUCACACUCGGACACACACACACACACACCUAAACAUCUACAUUCCAAUGUAAGGAACAAACACCCACUGAUGUAUAAAUAAAGACCAGGGCAGUCUCAGAGUGCGUGUCACAGAGCCCUCACUCUCACUGCGGGUGCUCUGUGCUGCCCUUGCUGCAAGUAAAUCUGUGUUUCUCCUCUCUGAUUCUCAACUGAAGAAGUGUUUUAGAAUACAUCUCUUGACAUUUGUUUUGGUCCUUCGCAGCCGGAACGGAAACAUCAGAACUGUUAUCUGUGACUCUGUUCCAGGAUCUGGCGGACUGAGUCCUGACGCCGUGGGAAGCCAGCACCGAAGUCUGUGCACAGCCCUUUUAAGAAUUCGGGUCCGGACCGGUGUUCUUAGUCUGGUCCACGGCGGUGGGAUUCAGUCAGACGAUCCGAACCACCACUGAGACGUCUGAGGGGGCUACAGGAGAAAAGCAGGCCUCUGGCUAAUUCUGGAAUAUUUACAGUGCAACAGAUGAAGGAAUCCAAAAGCUGAACAUGAAACAAGACAUCAAGCUCAGAAACAAAGUGUCUUUUUCAUCAUUGGAAACACACACACACACACACACACACACACACACACACAGAAGAUGAAACCUUCUGACAUUUCAAAAAAUGGGUCAGAUGGGAAAUGAGACUGUGUCAAACAAUCAGGUAAGCGCCACAGAGGAGACUGCUCCCUGCUGUUAAUCAAGUGUGCCAUAAAAAGAGAGAGAGAAACAGAGAAAAUGUCAGUGAAAGAAAGAAGAAGAAAAUCUUCUUGCCUUUCAUUUCUAUGCAAACCAACGAGAGGAAUUAUUUCACAAAUGAUGUUCCCCUGCUGUUAGGGCUGGAGGAUUAUUGCAAAAAUUAUGAUCCGAGUUGUCUUGUUCAAUAUAAAGAUGAUUAUUUAACAAUGCUAAUUUUUAAACUAUCAUCUUUUUUAUUAAAUCCGCCUGUUCUCGUAUCCUACAGGAUUCAAAAACAAUAUCACAAAAAUUGUGAUAAAAUAUAAUAAACAUUAUCCAAGUUAGUGCUGGGCGAUAUGGAAAAAAUAUUUAUCACGAUAUGAAUUAUUUUAUAUCACGAUAACGAUAUAUAUCACGAUAUACCACCU
This is a long non-coding RNA of Oreochromis niloticus (Nile tilapia), 1732 nucleotides long. RefSeq lists it as uncharacterized. The record is from RefSeq and is a predicted model, not a curated record. NCBI's taxonomy places the organism in Eukaryota, Metazoa, Chordata, Actinopteri, Cichliformes, Cichlidae. The transcript is spliced from 3 exons.